Molecule: ribosomal RNA, 277 nt
Filed under: uncultured bacterium
Lineage: Bacteria
Description: partial 16S ribosomal RNA
Rfam family: Bacterial small subunit ribosomal RNA
Source: RNAcentral
UACGAAGGGGCGUAGCGUUGUUCGGAAUUAACUGGGCGUAAAGACGCGCGUAGGCGGACCACCAAGUUGGAUGUGAAAUACCCACGGGCGUCAACUCUGGAACUGCAUUCAAAACUAGUUGGUCUAGAGGCUAGGAGAGGUCAGUGGAAUACCGAGUGUAGAGGUGAAAUUCGUAGAUAUUCGGUGGAACACCAGUGGCGAAGGCGACUGACUGGACUAGUACUGACGCUGAGGUGCGAAAGUGUGGGGAGCAAACAGGAUUAGAUACCCCGGUAGU